GGUUAAAAAGCUCGUAGUUGGAUCUCAACAGUCUUGAAGCGGUCAACUUUGUAGUUGUACUGCUUUGUAGACUGUGCUUUUGCUGGAGGUUUAGGGGUGCUCUUAAUCGAGUGUCUCUGGAUGCCAGCAGGUUUACUUUGAAAAAAUUAGAGUGCUCAAAGCUGGCUAAAAUGCCUGAAUAUUCGUGCAUGGAAUAAUAGAAUAGGAUGUCGAUCCUAUUUUGUUGGUUUUCGGGACUUGACAUAAUGAUUAAUAGGGACAGUCGGGGGCAUUUGUAUUCAAACGACAGAGGUGAAAUUCUUGGACCGUUUGAAGACAAA
Molecule: ribosomal RNA, 320 nt
Filed under: uncultured marine eukaryote
Lineage: Eukaryota
Description: SSU rRNA
Rfam family: Eukaryotic small subunit ribosomal RNA
Source: RNAcentral